GUCGACGAGUUCUCGUUGAUGAUCGGUGCUUGCACUGAGAUUCAACAUGGAACGAGUGGCGGACGGGUGAGUAACACGUGGGUAACCUGCCCUUAAGUGGGGGAUAACAUUUGGAAACAGAUGCUAAUACCGCAUAGAUCCAAGAACCGCAUGGUUCUUGGCUGAAAGAUGGCGUAAGCUAUCGCUUUUGGAUGGACCCGCGGCGUAUUAGCUAGUUGGUGAGGUAAUGGCUCACCAAGGCGAUGAUACGUAGCCGAACUGAGAGGUUGAUCGGCCACAUUGGGACUGAGACACGGCCCAAACUCCUACGGGAGGCAGCAGUAGGGAAUCUUCCACAAUGGACGCAAGUCUGAUGGAGCAACGCCGCGUGAGUGAAGAAGGCUUUCGGGUCGUAAAACUCUGUUGUUGGAGAAGAAUGGUCGGCAGAGUAACUGUUGUCGGCGUGACGGUAUCCAACCACAAAGCCACGGCUAACUACGUGCCAGCAGCCGCGGUAAUACGUAGGUGGCAAGCGUUAUCCGGAUUUAUUGGGCGUAAAGCGAGCGCAAGCGGUUUUUUAAGUCUGAUGUGAAAGCCCUCGGCUUAACCGAGGAAGCGCAUCGGAAACUGGGAAACUUGAGUGCAGAAGAGGACAGUGGAACUCCAUGUGUAGCGGUGAAAUGCGUAGAUAUAUGGAAGAACACCAGUGGCGAAGGCGGCUGUCUGGUCUGUAACUGACGCUGAGGCUCGAAAGCAUGGGUAGCGAACAGGAUUAGAUACCCUGGUAGUCCAUGCC
This 775-nucleotide ribosomal RNA is filed under the name uncultured bacterium. Its description in RNAcentral is "bacterial SSU rRNA". It matches the Rfam family "Bacterial small subunit ribosomal RNA", at positions 61 to 801 of the family's 1533-position model. The record is from RNAcentral.